Helianthus annuus (common sunflower) is the source of this 2019-nucleotide long non-coding RNA. RefSeq lists it as uncharacterized. The transcript has 7 exons. The record is from RefSeq and is a predicted model, not a curated record. Lineage: Eukaryota; Viridiplantae; Streptophyta; Magnoliopsida; Asterales; Asteraceae.
UUUUAAGACACCAUAGGGGUAAUAAGGGGAUUUCAGCCUACAUAUUGAAUGCUUCCGUUUCUAAUGAUUCAUGUUCUGGUUCCUCAUCGGCCAUUAUGAAAGAAAACCAUAAGACAGAAAUCCUACCUUCAUCGGCCGUGAAACCAUCCAUCAUCUAUCCGGUCACUUUUUCUGAUUCCGAUGGCUCUGCAUAUCGCCAAACGCCUCCUCCGUACCCGCGCCACAACCCCUGCCGCCGCGCUUUUCUCAGCCGUUGAUCGGAGCUUUUCCUCCACCUAUUCCGAUCUGAUUCGCGCCACUCUCUUUCCCUGCGACGGCAUCGGUCCAAAGAUCGCUGAAUCCGUCUAACAGGUUCUAGGUCUUGAAACUGAAAUCAGAAUGUUGAAAUCGCUAGAUCUUCAGUCACUGGCUAGGCUUCGAUGGGUGAGGUUGUGAUGUAUGUUUCUUGCUAAUUAACGUUACAUAUAGUUGGUUUGGUAUUUGUUUGGUUUGAUUUGAAUUGAUAGAUAUGUGCUUGUUUUCUCAGUCACUCGGAUUGAAAUGCAGAUUGGAGCAUGGCACCUGACCAGAGUGUCGUUUAGUGUUGCUAGGACUGGUGAAAACGUGAUACCAUCACUAGCAGAUUUACGUACAUCUGCCAAUUUCUUGGCUAGAUCACAAUAUUCAUUUUGUUUUAACAAUUGACUAACACCAGCCAGGCUCUCCGAAGCCGGAAAGCUUACAUCCGAACGUGUCUGCGGCUGUAAAUGGUGUCACUCUUGUUGGAACCCUAUCUGACCAAUUGUUCUUCGGGUGGCUCGGUGAUAAACUGGGUAAGCAGAAGGUUUACGGCAUCCGACCAAUCAUCUUUUACUUUCAUUCUUGAUGAUCCUAUUGGCAACAUCUUUUACUCUUUCCUGCCACACCGUUGCAUUUGAUAAGACUAGGACAUUGAGGACAGGGGAGUUUAUGUGUAAAGCGAUUGAGCCCAUACACGGACAUGAAGCUACCGCUUUUUGUUGCGUUACAACGUGUGAGAAAGAAGCUCUUGCUGUUGCUGCUGCUAUGGAAAAAGGCACCACCCACCCGAUCGGGAGUCAAUGUCUACUUGAUCUUUAUCAGGGUAAUAUGUGAUCUUCAGUCUUCUAAUGGUAUACACCCUUCCCUUACUAGAGGACCAGCAAGUUAUGGAGCUCUAUUUGUAUUGCGAUUUCUUUAUAGAAAAUAUGAUUUCAAGUCAGAUGAGGAGAGCCAAAUUGCGUACUUAACUUGAGCGAGCCAAUGAGUGAGUUGCCAUAAUUCUCAAAAUUAUGCUACAGAUGCAGUGAGAGAAGCCUUUUUUAUGCAAGAUUCGUUCGAAGAUAACAAGUCAAAGAUUCUUAUGAUAUUAUGUGCAAGCCCGGAUCCAAAGGAAAUGCAUAAGACAAUAUCGACAUUGGAAUACGGUGCAAAAGCCAAAUGCAUCGUGCGUGGGCCUCAUACGCCAAUUAAGGGUGACGAUUCGUCUUCGUCAGAUGUGAUGUUGGGUUCGAGAAUCGCGACUGCUUAGGUGAGUUCGUACAGAUUUUACGGUAACAUUACUGGUUUACGGUAACAUAACGGUUUCAUAAAAUGGAUAAUGUCAGACUUAAGUAAAAAACUGUCGACGGUAACAUUACUGGUCCAGUUGAGCGUUCUUGAGAUGCUUACAUUAGGGCAAACCAUGUCGGCCACUUAGUGAGUUCGGCCAGAUUUUAAGAACAAUUCAUUCUUUUGAAAAAGUUCAGCUGAUUGGCCAAGGCUUAAUGUCCUUUUUGAUAAAAGUUUUCGUCAUUUGCUUUAGACGAAGGAAGAGAGGGUUCAAAAUUUGUAUCUUACCAAGUUUUAUCUGAGUUUCAUGGUAGAGAUAAAUGGACGUAUAUCAUUGAAGUAUAUUAUUUGAGAACGGGAUUGGAUCGAAGUAUAUGGACAUGUACAAAUUUAUGCUCCCUAAUAUCAUAUAUGACAAUAACGUUGUAAAAAAACCUACUUUCGAUGUUUUGAUGAAAAUUUGUUGCGGUU